GUUGUAUUGAACGCGGCAGUAUCCUAGUCCCCAGUGGGAAGAUUUUUAUAACCAUAAUGCAACACACUUUGUAGACUUGACAAAAGUGAUCCGCUCGAACGCGCCCAAUGAUUUAGGCUAGAUAAAUUAAUGAACAAUUGAUGAUAUUUUUUUAUUUUUACCCCUUGCACGGUCAACAGGUUUGUCAAUAUUGUGAGAAAGCAUUUCUGUCACUGUGUGAGCAGCGUUGACUCUCUUACUGAACCUUGUGCGCUACGUAGUUUGAUAUAGCCUGCCUAUGGUCGUAUAAAAUAAAGAAGUGUUGGAGCGCCACCUGGAGAAAUACUGCUUCGUCUUGCUUUUGGGUUGUCACUCGUUACCACAGCCACGAAAUCAAAAGUGUAUAUCGCAAAAAUGAAUUUUUACAAAUAAUGGUUUCUGGUCUUAAUUUAAGGUUAGGCAUAAGGUUAGCAGUGUGGUUAGGGUUUGGUUUAAAGUCUUAUUUUAAGAUCAAAUGUAGAAGUUGGCGGGGGUUAGCCAAUUACUCCUUUGUAGUUGUGGUAACUAGUGACGACUAUCAACAUGUGUGGAAAUAACAACACGGCGAGCCGGGAGCUCACCUACGAUGGUUGUAAUAUUUUCAGACAAACACCAGUGUUAUCAACGCUAAAUUGCAAAAACAAAACCUACGAUCUGAGUGGUAUAACCCAGGACUCCGAGAUUUUGUAGCCAGCUUCACCAGGCUUCUGGACAAGGUAACCUAAGGGACCAAAAUUGAAAUCAAGUCAUGAGAGGAUGAAUGCAGUGUUCCCAACUCCUCAGUAAGGAAAGUAGCUAUUGGCUGUCCUAAAUGACGUCAUCGCCGAAUUUGCAUAAUUGGCCAUGUGCAUGUAAUUGUGAUUGGACGCUGUAGUAUGGAUGCUGUAGGAAUAACGUCGUGGAGAGACAAAAGGACCCUAUCAUGCGGAAUAGGUGGUUGGAGUUCGUUGGUCCCCAGUGCAGUGGUGGUGAGUAUACCAGUAGCUAAACCAUAGACAUCUGGUUAUGUAUGUUUGAAAAGUUUCAUUCAAAAAUAACUGGCUUGAUGAACUAGUAGGCUAAUUCCCCAGCCAAUCCGAUAUAGCUAGUAGAGUCGUUUUGGUUGUGAAGUGCACUAUAGCAAAAAGCUUUGUCCUUUCUCUAGAAAAAAAAAUGCAAUUUACCACUUGGCUCUCUAUUAUAUCACCCUGUCACAGGCCCUCCCAGUCAACACCACCUCAUCAGAUUGCCUGUUGCAGUUGUUGGAGAGAUGUACAGAUGGCAGCAGAACAUGCAGCAUAGUGAAGACUUGACUUCACUGUGAGCAUAACUAUGAAUGGAUCAGUCAGCCACAUGUUUGCAAGUAUCCGGUUAGACAAACCUGUCAUCGACAACAGCUUUCACAGGCUCAUCAUUUGUACAAAUACAGAAGGUAAAACACUUCAUUACUUUGAUACACUUGAAACCCCAGUAAUGAAACAUAAUGUAUAUAAACUGGCCUUAUUUGUUACUUGUUUUCUACUUCUUAGAUGCGUAUAAUGUGCCUUCAGAAUGUAUUCAUACCCCUUGACUUAUUCCACACACUGUAUAUAGACUUUCUAUUGUGUUAUUGACUGUACGUUUGUUUAUUCCAUGUGUAACUCGGUGUUUUUGUCGCACUGCUUUGCUUUAUCUUGGCCAGGUCUCGGUUGUUGUAAAUGUGAACUUGUUCUCAACUGGCCUACCUGGUGAAAUAAAGGUGAAAUAAAAAAAUAAAAUGUUGUUGUGUUACAGCCUGAAUUUAAAAUUAAUAAAUUCAAAGCCAAUAUUAUUUUUUGCACACAAUAACCCAUAAUGAAUGUCAUUUACAUACAGUACCAGUCAUGUUUGGACACACCUACUCAUUCAAGGGAUUUUCUUUUCUUUUUACUAUUUUCUACAUUGUAGAAUAAUAGUGAAGACCUCAACUAUGAAAUAACACAUGUACAGUCGUGGCCAAAAGUUUUGAGAAUGACGCAAAUAUAUAUUUUCAGUCUGCUGCCUCCGUUUGUAUGAUGGCAAUUUGCAUAUACUCCAGAAAGUUAUGAAGAGUGAUCCAAUUAAUUGCAAAGUCCCUCUUUGCCAUGCAUAUGAACUGAAUCCCCCAAAACAUUUCCAUUGCAUUUCAGCCCUGCCACAAAAGGACCAGCUGACAUGUCAGUGAUUCUAUCGUUAACACAGGUGUGAGUAUUGACGAGGACCAGGCUGGAGAUCACUCUGUCAUGCUGAUUGAGUUUGAAUAACAGACUGGAAGCUUCAAAAGGAGGGUGGUGCUUGGAGUCAUUGUUCUUCCUCUGUCAACCAUGGUCAUCUGCAAGGAAACAUGUGCCGUCAUCAUUGCUUUGCACAAAAAGGGCUUCACAGGCAAGGAUAUUGCUGCCAGUAAGAUUGUACCUAAAUCAACCAUUUAUCGGAUCAUCAAGAACUUCAAGGAGAGCGGUUCAAUUGUUGUGUAGAAGGCUUCAGGGCGCCCAAGAAAGUCCAGCAAGCGCCAGGAACAUCUCCUAAAGUUGAUUCAGCUGCGGGAUCGGGGCACCACCAAUACAGAGCUUGCUCAGGAAUGUCAGCAGGUAGGUGUGAGUGCAUCUGCAUGCACAGUGAGGCGAAGACUUUUGGAGGAUGGCCCGGUGUCAAGAAGGUCAGCAAAGAAGCCACUUCUCUCCAGGAAAAACAUCAGGGACAGACUGAUAUUCUGCAAAAGGUACAGGGAUUGGACUGCUGAGGACUGGGGUAAAGUAAUUUUCUCUGAUGAAUCCUCUUUCCAAUUAUUUGGGGCAUCUGGGGGAAAAAAGCUUGUUCAGAGAAGACGAGGUGAGCGCUACCAUCAGUCCUGUGUCAUGCCAACAGUGAAGCUCCCUGAGACCAUUCAUGUGUGGGGUUGCUUCUCAGCCAAGGGAGUGGGCUCACUCACAAUUUUGCUUAAGAACACAGCCAUGAAUAAAGAACGGUACCAACACAUCCUCCGAGAGCAACUUCUCCCAAUCAUCCAGGAACAGUUUGGUGAGGAACAAUGCCUUUUCCAGCAUGAUGGAGCACCUUGCCAAAAGGCAAAAGAGAGAACUAAGUGGCUCGGCAAACAAAACAUUGAUAUUUUAGGUCCAUGGCCAGGAAACUCCCCAGACCUUAAUCCCAUUGAGAACUUGUGGUCAAUCCUCAAGAGGCGGGUGGACAAACAAAACCCCACAAAUUCUGACAAACUCCACGCAUUGAUUAUGCAAGAAUGGGCUGCCAUCAGUCAGGAUGUGGCCCAGAAGUUAAUUGACAGAAUGCCAGGGGGCGGAUUGCAGAGGUCUUGAAAAAGAAGGGUCAAAACUGCAAAUGUUGACUCUUUGCAUCAACUUCAUGUAAUUGUCAAUAAAAGCCUUUGACACUUAUAACAUGCAUGUAAUUAUACUUCAGUAUUCCAUAGUAACAUCUGACAAAUAUCUAAUGACACUGAGGCAGCAGACUUUGUGAAAAUGUAUAUUUGUCAUUCUCAACUUUUGGCCACGACUGUAGUAGCCAAAAAAGUGUUAAACAAAUCCAAAAUAUAUUUGCGAUUCUUUAAAGUAGUCACCCUUUGCCUUGAUGACAGCUUUGCACUCUCUUGGCAUUCCUACACAUUCCUGCAAUUUCUUGGCAUUCGUAACUUCUCCGUUAUGCAAUCCAGUUUCUGAGCUGGUCACGGGUGCACCUCGGCCACACUCAAGAUCCUAAACGAUAUCAUAACCGCCAUUGAUAAAAGACAGUACUGUGCAGCCGUCCUCAUCGACCUGGCCAAGGCUUUCGACUCUGUCAAUCACCGUAUUUUUAUCGGCAGACUCAACAGCCUUGGUUUCUCUAAUGACUGCCUCGCCUGGUUCACCAACUACUUCUCAGAUAGAGUUCAGUUUGUCAAAUCGGAGGGCCUGUUGUCCAGACCUCUGGCAGUCUCUAUGGGUGUACCACUGGGUUCAAUUCUCAGGCCGACUCUUUUCUCUGUAUACAUCAAUGAUUUCGCUCUUGCGAUUCUUUGGUCCACCUCUACGCAAAUAACACCAUUCUGUACACAUCUGGCCCUUCUUUGGACACUGUGUUAAUAAACCUCCAGACAAGCUUCAACGCCAUAACACUCCUUCCGUAGCCUCCAACUGCUCUUAAAUGCUAGUAAAACUAAAUGCAUGCUCUUCAACCGAUCGCUACCCGCCCGCCCGACUAGCAUCACUACUCUGGACGGUUCUGACUUAGAAUAUGUGGACAACUACAAAUUCCUCGGUGUCUGGCUAGAAUGUAAACUCUCCUUCCAGACUCACAUUAAGCAUCUCCAAUCCAAAAUGAAAUCUAGAAUUGGCUUCCUAUUUCGCAACAAAGCAUCCUUCACUCAUGCUGCCAAACAUACCCUCGUAAAACUGACUAUCCCACCGAUCCUUGACUUCGGCGAUGUCAUAUACAAAAUAGCAAAAACCACUGAAGUUGGAGACUUAUAUCUCCCUCACCUAACUUUAAGCGUCAGCUGUCAGAGCAGCUUACCGAUCGCUGCAGCUGUACACAGCCCAUCCAACUACCUACCUCAUCCCCAUUUUAGUUUUUCUGCUCUUUUGCACACUAAUAUUUCUACUUGCACAUCCUCAUCUGCACAUCUACCACUCCAGUGUAAAUUGCUAAAUUGUAACUAUUUCGCCACUAUUGGCCUAUUUAUUGCGUUACCUCCUUAAUUUGCAAACACUAUACAGAGUUUUAUAUUGUGUUAUUGACUGUAAGUUUGUUUAUCCCAUGUGUAACUUGGUGUUGUUUUUGUCGCGUUGCUCUGCUUUAUCUUGGCCAGGUCGCAGUUGUAAAGGAGAACUUGUUCUCAACUGGCCUACCUGGUUAAAUAAAGGUUUUUCUUUUUUUUAACAUUUCACAUCUCUCAACCUGCUUCACCUGGGAUGCUUUUCCAACAGUCUUGAAGGACAUAUGCUGAGCAGUUGUUGGCUGCCUUUCCUUCACUCUGGUUCCAAACCAUCACAGUUGGGUUGAGAUCGGGUGAUUGGAGUCCAGGUCAUCUGAUGCCGCGCUCCAUUACUCUCCUUGGUCAAAUUGCCCUUACACAGCCUGGAGGUGUGUUGGGUCAUUGUCCUGUUGAAAAAUAAAUGAUAGUCCCACUAAGCGCAAACCAGAUGGGAUGGCGUAUCGCUGCAGAAUGCUGUGGUAGCCAUGCUGGGUAAGUGUGCCUUGAAUUCUAAAUAAAUCACUGACUGUGUUACCAGCAAAGCAACAUCACACCACCACCUCCAUACUUCAUGGUGGGAACCACACAAGCGGAUAUCAUCCGUUCUCCAUCUCACAAAGACAUGGCGGUUGAAACAAAAAAUCAGACCAAAGAGCACAUUUCCACCUGUCUAAUUAAUGUCCAUUGCUCGUGUUUCUUGGCCCAAGCAAGUAUCUUCGUCUUAUUGGUGUGCUUUAUUAGUAGUUUCUUUGCAGCAAUUUGACCAUGUAGGCCUGAUUUUACAGUCUCCUCUGAACAGUUGAUGUUGAGAUGUGUCUGUUACUUGAACUUUGUGAAGCAUUUAUUUGGGCUGCAAUUUCUGAGGCUGGUAACUAAUGAAUUUAUCCUCUGCAGCAGAGGUAACUCUGGGUCUUCCUUUCUAGUGGCGGUCCUCAUGAGAGCCAGUUACAUCAUAGCACUUGAUGGUUUUUGUGACUGCACUUGAAGAAACUUACAAAGUUCUUAAUGUUCCGGAUUGACUGACCUUCAUGUCUUAAAGUAAUGAUGGACUGUCAUUUCUCUUUUCUUAUUUGAGCUGCUGUUGCCAUAAUAUGGACUUGGUCUUUUACUAAAUAGGUCUAUCUUCUGUAUUCCAAAUACAACUCUAUUUCUCUGUAAACAAAUUAACAGACUUACAGCAUGCUUAUAGAGGAGGGCACCCAACAUGUACUGCACUGGCACAAAUGACUGACUGAUUAAAAUAAAUUGAUAAGAAGAUUGUGGGAGAUGUACUGUUACAUUUCAGUGCAGCCUUUGACAUUAUUGACCAUAACCUGUUGUUGAAAAAACGUAUGUGUUAUGGCUUUUCAACCUCUGCGACAUCGUGGAUUCAGAGCUAUCUAAUAGAACUCAAAGAACUCAAAUUUUCUUUAAUGGAAACUUCUCUGUCAAACAUAUAAAGAAUGUCUUCCACAAUAACUGCCCUAAAUGUAUGAAAUAAGGAUUAAGAGUACUCAAUCUAGAGCCAAAUAUAUAUAUAUAUAUAAAAUAAAGUUACCAGAAUGCAACUGUAUACUUGAUAUUACUCAGCUAGAUAUAGCAUUGAAGCCACUUUGCAUUAGCUAACUCAAUUACUCAUCUUUUACAGAAACAUGACAAUUGUGAUAAAUAUUUAUCUUGUGUUAAUAAACAAAUGUACUUGCAGACAUUGCAUCAUACGAAAUUUAUAAAGAUGGAUUGUAACUACCCUCAUGCACAUCUUACGCAUUGCUUUACUUCUGAAACUGCUUCCUGUCACAUGACACAAACAGGUAAAUUCUAGCCUGCUGAACUUAAACUGCCACUAGGGGGUGCUAAAUAACUAACAUGUCCAGAACACCCACUGAGUCAAUGAUGGCUCCAAAAGCCUUUUGGAGUGGGUCUGUGGACUUUUCCAUGUGAUUAUUAAAGUCACCAAAAAUUAGAAUAUUAUCUGCCAUGACUACAAGGUCCAAUAGGAAUGCAGGGAACUUAGUGAGGAACGCUGUAUAUGGCCCAGAAGGCCUGUAACAGUAGCAAUAAAAAGUGAUUGAGUAGGCUUGGAUAGAUUUCAUGACUAGAAGUUCAAAAGACAAACGUAGUCAUUUUUUUGCGUAAAUUGAAAUUUGGCAUCGUAAAUGUUAGCAAUACAUCCGCCUUUGCGGGAUGCGCGGGGGAUAUGGUCACCAGUGUAAUCAGGAGGAGAGGCCUCAUUUAACACAGUAAAUUCAUCAGGCUUAAGCCAUAGUUCAGUUAGGCCAAUCACAUCAAGAUUAUGAUCAGUGAUUAGUUCAUUGACUAUAACUGCCUUGGAAGUGAGGGAUCUAACAUUAAGUAGCCCUAUUUUGAGAUGUGAGAUAUCACUAUCUCUUUCAAUAAUGACAGGAAUGGAGGAGGUCUUUAGUCCAGUGAGAUUGCUAAGGUGAACACCGCCAUAUUUAGUUUUGCCCAACCUAGAUCGAGGCACACACGGUCUCAGUGGGGAUAGCUGAGCUGACUAUACUGACUGUGCUAGUGGCAGUCUCCACUAAGCUGGCAGGCUGCACCCUAUCUCUAUUUGGCCUUGGGUUCUAAUUAACCUUUCAGCAGGACAAUCAUCUAAUCUCAGUGUCUGUUGGAAAGCAGACUGAACCAGGGUUUCCUCUAGGAUUUUGCCUGUGCUUAGCUCUAUUCCAUUUAUUUUUAUCCCCUAAAAAUCCCUAGUCCUUUCCAAUGACAAGCAUAUCCAAAACAUGAUGCGAGUGGUACUCAGUGAUGUGGUGUGUUCGAUUUGCCCCAAACAUAACACUUUGUAUUCAGGACAAAGUUAAUUAUUUUGCCGUUUUACUUUAGUGCCUUAUUGCAAACAGGGCGCAUGUUUUGGAAUAAUUUUAUUCCGCACAGGCUUCCUUCUUUUCACUUUGUCAGUUAGGUUAAUAUUGUGGAGUAACUACAAUGUUGUUGAUCUAUCCUCAAAGUUCUCCCAUCACGGCUAUUAAACUUGGUAACUGAUUUAAAGUCACCAUUGGCCUCAUGGUGAAAUCCCUGAGCUGUUUCUGUUCUCUCCAGCGACUUAGUUAGGAAGGACGCCUGUAUCAUUGUGACUUGUUGUAUCGAUACAACAUCCAAAGUGAAAUUAAUAACUUAACCAUGAUCAAAGGGACAUUCAAUGUCUGCUUUUUAAAUUUUUACCCAUCUACCACUAGGUGCCCUUCUUUGCGAGGCAUUGGAAAACCUCCCUGGUCUUUGUGGUUGAAUCUGUGUUUAAAAUGCACUGCUCGACUGAGGGACCUUACAAUUAUCUGUAUGUGUGGGGUAAAGAGAUGAGAGAGUCAUUCGAAGAUCAUUUUAAACACUAUUAUUGCCCACAGAGUGAGUCCAUACAACUUAUUAUGUGACUUGUUCAGCACAUUUUUACUCCUGAACUUAUUUAGGCUUGCCUUAACAAAGGGGUUGAAUACUUAUUGACUCAGGACAUUUCAGCUUUUCAUUUUUAAUUUGUUAAAAUGUCUCAACAUAAUUCCACUUUGACAUUAUAGGGUACUGUGUGUAGUCCAGUGACACAAAAUAUAAAUCUAACACAUGUUAAAUUCAGGCUGUAACGCAACAAUGUGUAAAAAGUCCAGGGGUGUGAAUACUUUCCGAAGGCACUGUAAUGGCCAGGUCAUAAUCUAGUCUGGAAGAACCUAGCCUGAUCCCUGUGUUCUCUAUUCUAUUUCACGUUACAUUUGAAGAUAUCUGAAAUUAAAUAGAAAGGUGAACACAUCGAUCAGGUUGGUUUCACCAGGCUAAUCAUAACCACCAUUGAUAAUGUAUGUGUGUGUGUGUGGCCAACC
Molecule: long non-coding RNA, 8496 nt
Organism: Oncorhynchus nerka (sockeye salmon)
Lineage: Eukaryota; Metazoa; Chordata; Actinopteri; Salmoniformes; Salmonidae
Exons: 3
Source: RefSeq, a predicted model, not a curated record